UGGGCUGGCUAAUCAGUUCGGGCCACUGGAUUGGGGCCAGGUUGGGUGCAAGGAAAGCCCAAGCGUAGGUGCGGAGGGCAUUCGUGGUAGCCCAUUCGUGGGUGCGGAGGGGAUUCGCAUGAGCCCGUUCAUGGGUGUGAAGGGCACUGAGGGCAUUAUGGCACUUAGGCUUUCUGAGCCACAACCGAAGGGGGCCUCGAGUGGGCCAUGCACAGGGCCUCUUAAACACAUGCGGCCCAAUGAUUUUGAUGC
This 252-nucleotide long non-coding RNA is filed under the name Elaeis guineensis (African oil palm). Its description in RNAcentral is "long non-coding RNA (EGUI_LNC007209)". Lineage: Eukaryota; Viridiplantae; Streptophyta; Magnoliopsida; Arecales; Arecaceae. The record is from RNAcentral.